Molecule: unclassified non-coding RNA, 295 nt
Filed under: plant metagenome
Description: partial contains small subunit ribosomal RNA, internal transcribed spacer 1, and 5.8S ribosomal RNA
Source: RNAcentral
UUUUCGUAGGUGAACCUGCGGAAGGAUCAUUAUUGAAAAAAGUUGGUUGGGUUGUUUCUGGCUCCUCCGUUCUGUUGCACGCCCGCUCCAUUUUUAACCACCUGUGCACCUUGUGUAGUUAUGAACACUUCUCUGGGAAACUCGGUCAGAGGAUUGCUGUGUGUAAAUGCCAGCUUUUCUUGGGGUCAGAUCUAUGUCUUUAUAUAAAACAUAAGAAUGUAUAGGAAUGUAAUUGAAAGGCGUUAACGACUUUAAAAUUCAAAUACAACUUUCAACAACGGAUCUCUUGGCUCUG